ACGGAGGGUGCAAGCGUUAAUCGGAAUUACUGGGCGUAAAGCGCACGCAGGCGGUUUGUUAAGUCAGAUGUGAAAUCCCCGGGCUCAACCUGGGAACUGCAUCUGAUACUGGCAAGCUUGAGUCCAGUAGAGGGGGGUGGAAUUCGAGAUGUAGCGGUGAAAUGCUUAGAGAUCUGGCAGAACACCGAUGGCGAAGGCAGCUUACUAGACGGAGACUGACGCUGAGGUGCGAAAGCGUGGGGAGCAAACAG
Molecule: ribosomal RNA, 251 nt
Filed under: uncultured prokaryote
Description: partial 16S rRNA
Rfam family: Bacterial small subunit ribosomal RNA
Source: RNAcentral